This 433-nucleotide ribosomal RNA is filed under the name uncultured bacterium. RNAcentral's name for it is "partial 16S ribosomal RNA". It matches the Rfam family "Bacterial small subunit ribosomal RNA", at positions 29 to 507 of the family's 1533-position model. The record is from RNAcentral.
AGCGAACGCUGGCGGCAGGCUUAACACAUGCAAGUCGAACGGGCACUUCGGUGCUAGUGGCAGACGGGUGAGUAACACGUGGGAACGUACCUUUCGGUUCGGAAUAAUCCAGGGAAACUUGGACUAAUACCGGAUACGCCCUUCGGGGGAAAGAUUCAUCGCCGAUAGAUCGGCCCGCGUCUGAUUAGCUAGUUGGUGAGGUAAUGGCUCACCAAGGCGACGAUCAGUAGCUGGUCUGAGAGGAUGAUCAGCCACAUUGGGACUGAGACACGGCCCAAACUCCUACGGGAGGCAGCAGUGGGGAAUAUUGGACAAUGGGCGCAAGCCUGAUCCAGCCAUGCCGCGUGAGUGAUGAAGGCCUUAGGGUUGUAAAGCUCUUUUGUCCGGGAAGAUAAUGACGGUACCGGAAGAAUAAGCCCCGGCUAACUUCGUG